UCCUACGGGAGGCAGCAGUGGGGAAUAUUGCACAAUGGGGGGAACCCUGAUGCAGCGACGCCGCGUGGGUGAAGGAGUAUUUCGGUAUGUAAAGCCCUAUCAGCAGGGAAGAACAAUGACGGUACCUGACUAAGAAGCACCGGCUAAAUACGUGCCAGCAGCCGCGGUAAUACGUAUGGUGCAAGCGUUAUCCGGAUUUACUGGGUGUAAAGGGAGCGCAGGCGGCGCGUUAAGCCUGGUGUGAAAGCCCGCGGCCCAACCCCGGGACUGCUCUUGGAACUGCGUGGCUGGAGUGCAGGAGGGGG
This 305-nucleotide ribosomal RNA is filed under the name uncultured bacterium. RNAcentral's name for it is "bacterial SSU rRNA". It matches the Rfam family "Bacterial small subunit ribosomal RNA", at positions 337 to 658 of the family's 1533-position model. The record is from RNAcentral.